CCAGACUCCUACGGGAGGCAGCAGUGGGGAAUAUUGCACAAUGGGCGAAAGCCUGAUGCAGCAACGCCGCGUGAAGGAAGACGGUUUUCGGAUUGUAAACUUCUGUUCUUAGUGAAGAAUAAUGACGGUAACUAAGGAGCAAGCCACGGCUAACUACGUGCCAGCAGCCACGGUAAUACGUAGGGGGCAAGCGUUAUCCGGAUUUACUGGGUGUAAAGGGAGCGUAGGCGGCCAGGCAAGUCAGAAGUGAAAGCCCGGGGCUCAACCCCGGGACUGCUUUUGAAACUGCCAGGCUGGAGUGUCGGAGGGGUAAGUGGAAUUCCUAGUGUAGCGGUGAAAUGCGUAGAUAUUAGGAGGAACACCAGUGGCGAAGGCGGCUUACUGGACGAUCACUGACGCUGAGGCUCGAAAGCGUGGGGAGCAAACAGGAUUAGAUACCCCAGUA
Molecule: ribosomal RNA, 445 nt
Filed under: uncultured bacterium
Lineage: Bacteria
Description: bacterial SSU rRNA
Rfam family: Bacterial small subunit ribosomal RNA
Source: RNAcentral